AUCUCGCCGAUGAUGGAGAAAAGUAGUUAAGAGUACACAUGGCCAGAGAGGAAAUGCCGUAGGCUGGAAGCAUUUCUCCAUGAUGACUUAACGAACGAACACUCCGUAGGUUUCUCUUUGAACGCGCGAUUGCUAGUAGGAGAGAACGCUUUCCGAGCGUUAUCGGAUAAAGUGGAAGCAUGCGCUUCAACUAGGGUGGCACCACGGGAAUUCGUCUCUCGUCCCUAAU
RNAcentral lists this non-coding RNA (229 nucleotides) under Anoxybacillus flavithermus. Its description in RNAcentral is "T-box sequence". It matches the Rfam family "T-box leader". Rfam says of the family: Uncharged tRNA acts as the effector for transcription antitermination of genes in the T-box leader family. T-boxes are found upstream of many aminoacyl-tRNA synthetase genes and some amino acid biosynthetic genes usually in Gram-positive bacteria. The anticodon of a specific tRNA base pairs to a specifier sequence within the T-box motif, and the NCCA acceptor tail of the tRNA base pairs to a conserved bulge in the T-box antiterminator hairpin. The record is from RNAcentral. Lineage: Bacteria; Bacillati; Bacillota; Bacilli; Caryophanales; Anoxybacillaceae.